RNAcentral lists this ribosomal RNA (497 nucleotides) under uncultured bacterium. Its description in RNAcentral is "partial 16S ribosomal RNA". It matches the Rfam family "Bacterial small subunit ribosomal RNA", at positions 28 to 507 of the family's 1533-position model. The record is from RNAcentral.
GAUGAACGCUGGCGGCGUGCCUAAUACAUGCAAGUCGAGCGAACGGCCGAGAAGCUUGCGUCUCUGAUGUUAGCAGCGGACGGGUCAGUAACACAUGGAUAACCUACCUAUAAGACUGGGAUACCUUCGGGAACACGGAGCUUAUACCGGAUAAUAUUUUGACCCGUAUGGUUCCAAAGUAAAAGACGGUCUUGCUGUCACUUAUCGAUGGAUCCGCGACUCAUUACCUAGUUGUUAAGGUGACGGCAUACCAACGCAACGAGGCAUAGCCGACCGGAGAGGGAGAUGGCACGCAUGGGAACUGAGAAUCGGUCCAGACCCCGACGGUAGGCAACAGUCGGGAACCCUCCGCGAUGGGGGAAGGCGUGACGGAGCAACGCCGCGUGAAUGAUGAACGUCCUCGGAUCGUGAAACUCUGUUAUUAGGGAGGAUCAUAUGUGUAAGUAGCUGUGCACAUCGUGACGGUACCGAAAGAGUAAGCCCCGGCUAACUACGUG